This is a non-coding RNA of Candidatus Azambacteria bacterium, 1074 nucleotides long. The record is from Rfam. Lineage: Bacteria; Candidatus Azamiibacteriota.
UAAAAUGAGAAUUUGAUCCUGGUUCAGGAUGAACGCUGGCGGCGUGGAUAAGGCAUGCAAGUCGAACGAACCCAGUAAGAUUACAUCAAGUUGGGUUAGUGGCAGACGAGUUAGUAACACGUAGGAACUUACCCCGAAGACGGACACAACCUGCCGAAAGGUGGGCUAAUAUCCGAUAGUCUCCGACCUCGCAAGAGCGUCGGAGUAAAGGUUGGCAACAGCCGCUUUGGGAGAGGCCUGCGGGCUAUCAGCUAGUUGGUGAGGUAAUGGCUCACCAAGGCUAUGACGGCUAGGGGGCGUGAGAGCGCGUUCCCCAACGAGGAAACUGAGACACGGUUCCUACUCCUACGGGAGGCAGCAGUCGAGAAUAUUCCGCAAUGGGCGAAAGCCUGACGGAGCGACGCCGCGUGGAGGAAGAAGGUCUUCGGAUCGUAAACUCCUUUUGGCAGGGAAGAAGGACCGUACCUCACUGCAUUCGGUAUGGAAUUUCUAAUUUUUAAUUUCUAAUUUUUAAUCAAUUUUUAAUGAUUUAAUUUUCAAACAUUAAGUCAUUCAAUCAUUUAUUGAAAAUUUAAAAUUUAAAAUUGAAAAUUCCGCCCGAGCGUAGCGAGGUGCGGUUCUGACGGUACCUGCAGAAUAAGGCGCUGCUAACCUCGUGCCAGCAGCCGCGGUAAUACGAGGGCGCCAAGCGUUAUCCGGAUUUAUUGGGCGUAAAGCGUCUGUAGGGGGUUAUGUUAGUUCAAUGUUAAAGCCCGCGACUCAAUCGCGGAAGUGCAUUGAAUACGGCAUGACUUGAGGGAGUCAGAGGCAAAUGGAACGGCCGGUGUAGGGGUGAAAUCCGUUGAUAUCGGCCGGAACACCAAAGGCGAAGGCAUUUUGCUGGGACUCUCCUGACCCUCAGAGACGAAAGCGUGGGUCGCGAAUGGGAUUAGAUACCCCAGUAGUCCACGCCCUAAACGAUGAGUGCUCGCUAUUUGAAGUAUCGACCCUUCAUGUGGCUUAGCUAACGCGUUAAGCACUCCGCCUGGGAAGUACGAGCGCAAGCUUAAAACUCAAAGGAAUAGACGGGGACUC